GAGUAGUAAAUAUUUUGUAUUUAUUCUUCCUGAAAAACCCAGUAUUAUCUCCCGCUUUUCGUGUGAUGGCCUGAAUUCGGCAGUCGGCGGUCCUCUAACCCGUAAGCUCCACUAACUUCCCGGUCGCCGGAAUUUGCAGAGUAUCGCUGCUAUCGCUUUAGGAAACCAUUUCAGGCGAAUUUUACUAAGCGAAUUUUUCCGGUGAACUUCGGGCCAUUUAGUUGUUCUCAAUUGUAUUAGCGAUUCAUUUUACGCUAACAAUUCUUUGCUGAGCCCAGUGUUCUUUUUUCUUUUUCAAUUUUGAAAUUCUGGAGAGAAGACGGCCGGAUUUGUCACCGGAGAAAUCAGGAAACGGUGGCUUAAAGUGAUGGGCUCGAAGCUUGAAUGGAAGUUUUCACAGGUUUUUGGCGAAAGAAAGGCUGGAGAGGAGAUUGAAAAUGUGGACAUUAUAACUGCGGUUGAGUUCGACAAGAGUGGUGAAUAUAUUGCCUCUGGAGAUCGUGGUGGUCGUGUUGUUCUAUUUGAAAGGACAAAUGGGAAAUAUCAUGGGUCUAGAAAAGAUUUGGAAAGAUUGGAUCAUCCUCCUAGAAGCCACCCUGAAUACCAUUACAAGACCGAAAUCCAGAGCCAUGAGCCAGAGUUUGAUUAUCUGAAGAGUUUCGAAAUUGAAGAGAAGGUUAAUAAAGUAAAAUGGUGCCCCAGAGCCAAUGAUUCUUUGUUUCUUCUCUCAGCAAAUGACAAGACCAUCAAACUAUGGAAGGUCAUGCAAAGAAAAGUCAAGAAAGUUGAAGAGAUAAAUCCAAAUCCAUCUGUAUCUUCCGAAAAUACACUCUUAUCAGGAAAGGGUUUUCUAUUGGGGCAGGAGGAAUCACCUGUUGCUAAUGGGAACUCUUUGGAGAAGACAAGUGGAAUACUGCCAAAUGAUUUGUCGAAAUCUUUAGAGGAGAGUUUGUCACUUCGUCAUCUCAUACUCAGAGAGCCUUCCAUCUCAAGAUGUCGGAGGGUGUAUGCUCAUGCCCAUGAUUUUCACAUUAACUCCAUCUCCAUCAACAGUGACUGUGAAACAUUCAUCUCUGCUGAUGAUCUCAGAAUAAACUUGUGGAACUUGGAGAAAAGCUAUCAAUGUUUCAACAUUAUUGACCUAAAGCCUAACAACAUGGAGGACCUCACUGAGGUUAUUACAUCAGCUGAGUUCCACCCAGUUCAUUGUAAUCUCUUAGCUUAUGGUGGCUCGAAAGGUAUAAUCCGACUAGUGGACAUGCGGCAAUCAGCCUUAUGUGAUGGAUGUGCAAGGAUAUUUGAGGAUAAAGCAGCACAUGGACCCAGAUCCUUUUUGACAGAGCUAAUUGGUGCCAUUUCUCAUAUGAAGUUUGCGAGCAAUGGGAGGCAUGUUUUAAGCCGUGAUUACAUGAAUCUGAAGCUCUGGGACUUGCAUAUGGACUCAUCUCCUAUUUCAACAUUCAAGAUUCAUGAGUAUCUUAGUCCAAAGUUAUCUGAAUUAUAUAACAACGACUUGAUAUUUGACAAAUUCGAAUGCUGCCUUAGUCAGGAUGGCCUUCAUUUCGCAACCGGGUCUUACAGCAAUCUUUUUCAAGUUUACUCUCAUGGCUCUGGACGUGAGGAAAGAACAAUCUUGGAAGCUUGCAGAAACCCCAACAGGAAGCCGCUUCUCCCAAAGAGCACGAAAUCUGUGCGAUCAUUCGCCAGCCUUACACGUGGUUAUGGAAAACGAGGACAUGAAGCCUCAAUCUUUGAUAUAAAUGGAGAUCCAUGCGACCUAACCAUGAAGCUACUCCAUCUGGCAUGGCACCCCACUUCUAAUCUUAUAGCCUGUGCCUCUGCAAAUAGCUUGUACAUGUAUUACGCAUAGCUUCUACUUCCUGCUAAGUUUGCUGUCAGAUUAAAUUGGCAUUGUUCGUUAUGAGCACUCAUGGGAUAACGGAUAACCAAAUUCAGCCUUCAAUUUCUGUGGAAUAACUGGAGAAUCAUCAAAGCCUGCCAUUGUUUUCAACAGAAAUGGUAGUAUGUGUGAUACCCAAAUCUAAGCUUUAACCAUUUUGGGGAGAGCAUUGGCAAUUGAUAUCCUUGGCUGCCAUUGUAAAAGUAACGUUGGGUUUUUCAAUUUCAGGAUACCAGAAGGAAUGUGGGUUUUCUCACACCGUGGUGAUUUUGAUAUUCUCAAAGUGUAUAUAUGUUUGCAGUAUUUUCUUUGUUUGAAGUCAUCUAACAUACCAUUCUUUGGUUCACCAUGUACUAAGUGGAACUGGUGAACUCUGGUUGAUGGCAUUAUUGAUGGGGUACUCACUUUCGACGUGGUUGGUACAUAGGCAUCAGAGGGUGAAGAACUAGUACAAUCUUGAAGCUCUGAUUCAUAAUCAAAAGGGAAGAUAAGCAGUAAGACUGUGAGCAUUAAAUUACAAAUGUCCGAGGUUCAAUUCUCUGAUAGCUUAUUUAAAAAGGUAUGAUGAAUCCAUGAUGCUUUAAUAUUGAAAAGGAAUCUGACAUAUUAGAUAAUAUCCAGUAAUGUGACACGCCUUUUGCUUGAGAUGGGCCUCCAUCAACAAUAAAUCUGCACUGUCGAAUCUGAACCAGAUGGAGAUUGAGACUAUCGGGUGACCUGCUAAAUCCGGUUAAAACACCCCCUAGGCAGAGAAACGAGAUAUAUUGCCUUUGUCGUUUCUCUCCCUCUAUCUGAUCUUCAGCAUAUGUGCCCCUACGCUAUGGUGAUACACGUUUCAACCUAAAGAAAUCCAUUUCUUUCCAUUUGAAUUUAAUAUGAUAAAAGAGGUAUUUACUCCGUUGCUUGUGUUUGACAUACACAAGAUUAGUCCAUCUAUUCUUACAAUAUUAUAUUAACUUGUAGAAUCUGAUUAAGAAUGGUUCCUACAAGUGGAUGGAAAACAACACCUGUGGGAUGUUACAAAUUAAGUUUUGAUGGCAACUCCCUAAGGAAUCCAGGCUUGGCAGGUGUGAGGGGCAUCUUGAGAGACUCUGAAGGUAAUGUUGUGUUCGCCUAUGCUGGUCCGUGUGGAAGGCUUGGCAGGUGUGGGGGGCCGUCUUAAGAGACUCUGAAAGUAAUGUUGCGUUCUCUUAUGCUGGUCCAUGUGAAAAUGCUACUGCAAAUCAGGCAUAACUUAAUUCCUUGUGCAAGGUCUUAAGCUUGAUCAAAGCUGGCGAGGGAGGAGCCAUAAUAGUCGAGGGAGAUUCGUUGAAUGCGAUGAAGUGGUGUACUAGGGAAUUUAAGGUACCAUGGAUGUUAAAGGACUGUGUGGUUGGAUAUUUGCCCAAUGAUGAAUGUAUCCUUUGCUCAUGUAUAUCGAGAAUCAAAUCAGAUGGCAUAUGCUUAGGUGAAAUAUAGAUCUGGUUUACCAAAUAUUGUUGUCUCUGAGAUCUUGUUGAUUAAUUUAUAAAUUUGCUUUAUCUUCUUACUAUCAAUAAAAAAAAUUUAACAUUGUCAAAAAGAAAGGACAAAAAAAAAAGUGAGUUCAUCUAUUCUCUGUUUUCUUAUUUACAAAAGGUUUGUAUUUUAUGAAGGGUUGCAAUUUGCAUAAGGUGUCGACCUAAAUAAUCAAAGUAAGGUGCACCUCCAAACUUUAUCUAAAGAUUCAAUUUUGGUACCGGAAAUUCCUAAAAUAGAUGGUUCACAUUUGACUUAUAAAAUUUAAAAUUCCACAAAUAGUGGAGAUCACAUAGAUUUAUAAGCACUUGAAAAUCAUGAAAAUGGACGGUACAGAUAAUGUUUUAAUAGUGUUUCAAAAAACGUUGGGCGGUGGCUCGACGACCGGGGUUUCAGACCGCCCAGCGCUCAGGCAGUGCCCAAAACCUAAGCGGCCCAGCAAAAAGACAAAUGUCUUUAUAGUCUAAGAGUAUAAGUAUAAUUGUAUAACACAUAAAAGUUAGGGAAUUUAGGGCACAUCAAAUGUAUAGUACAUAAGUCCACGUAGCUUAGACUCCUCCAUACUCUAUAAGCCCACAGUUUGAUAGUCCACUAAAUCUAAUAUCGAUGGGUGAUAUUUAGAUAAAUUUCGUGUAACUUUGAUAAACCCUUCGAUCCUAUGCAAAUUACCGAAGACUUUUUUUUU
Molecule: non-coding RNA, 4082 nt
Organism: Amborella trichopoda
Lineage: Eukaryota; Viridiplantae; Streptophyta; Magnoliopsida; Amborellales; Amborellaceae
Source: RefSeq, a predicted model, not a curated record